UACGUAGGGUGCAAGCGUUGUCCGGAAUUAUUGGGCGUAAAGAGCUCGUAGGCGGUCUGUCGCGUCUGCUGUGAAAACCCAGGGCUUAACCCUGGGCCUGCAGUGGGUACGGGCAGACUAGAGUGCGGUAGGGGAGAUCGGAAUUCCUGGUGUAGCGGUGAAAUGCGCAGAUAUCAGGAGGAACACCGGUGGCGAAGGCGGAUCUCUGGGCCGUAACUGACGCUGAGGAGCGAAAGCAUGGGUAGCGAACAGG
RNAcentral lists this ribosomal RNA (253 nucleotides) under uncultured bacterium. RNAcentral describes it as "partial 16S ribosomal RNA". It matches the Rfam family "Bacterial small subunit ribosomal RNA", at positions 524 to 776 of the family's 1533-position model. The record is from RNAcentral.